UAGGGAAUAUUGCACAAUGGAGGAAACUCUGAUGCAGCGACGCCGCGUGAGUGACGAAGGCCUUCGGGUUGUAAAGCUCUGUUCUUAGGGAAAAAGAAAGUGAUUGUACCUAAGAAGAAAGGACCGGCUAACUUCGUGCCAGCAGCCGCGGUAAGACGAGGGGUCCAAGCGUUGUUCGGAAUCAUUGGGCGUAAAGCGGGUGUAGGUGGCUCUGUAAGUCAGGAGUGAAAGCCCCGAGCUUAACUUGGGAAGUGCUUUUGAUACUGCAGAACUUGAGUGUGGGAGAGGAUCGUGGAAUUCCAGGUGUAGUGGUGAAAUACGUAGAUAUCUGGAGGAACACCGGUGGCGAAGGCGGCGAUCUGGCCCAACACUGACACUGAGACCCGAAAGCGUGGGGAUCAAACAGGAUUAGAUACCCCAGUAGUCC
This 427-nucleotide ribosomal RNA is filed under the name uncultured Bdellovibrio sp. RNAcentral's name for it is "bacterial SSU rRNA". It matches the Rfam family "Bacterial small subunit ribosomal RNA", at positions 355 to 796 of the family's 1533-position model. Lineage: Bacteria; Pseudomonadati; Bdellovibrionota; Bdellovibrionia; Bdellovibrionales; Pseudobdellovibrionaceae. The record is from RNAcentral.